AACGCCGAGUGUGUGAACAACAUAGGAAGUUAUACGUGUGUAUGCCUAGCUGGAUAUACUGGUAAUGGAUUUGACUGCGUUGAUAUCGACGAAUGUACAUCGGGCACCCACGUCUGUCAUGUCAACGCCGAGUGUGUGAACAACAUAGGAAGUUAUACGUGUGUAUGCCUAGCUGGAUAUACUGGUAAUGGAUUUGACUGCGUUGAUAUCGACGAAUGUACAUCGGGCACCCACGUCUGUCAUGUCAACGCCGAGUGUGUGAACAACAUAGGAAGUUAUACGUGUGUAUGCC
Molecule: long non-coding RNA, 292 nt
Organism: Lytechinus variegatus (green sea urchin)
Lineage: Eukaryota; Metazoa; Echinodermata; Echinoidea; Temnopleuroida; Toxopneustidae
Exons: 3
Source: RefSeq, a predicted model, not a curated record